RNAcentral lists this ribosomal RNA (250 nucleotides) under uncultured bacterium. RNAcentral describes it as "partial 16S ribosomal RNA". It matches the Rfam family "Bacterial small subunit ribosomal RNA", at positions 524 to 773 of the family's 1533-position model. The record is from RNAcentral.
UACGUAGGGUGCGAGCGUUAAUCGGAAUUACUGGGCGUAAAGCGUGCGCAGGCGGCGAUGCAAGACAGGUGUGAAAUCCCCGGGCUUAACCUGGGAACUGCACUUGUGACUGCAUUGCUAGAGUGUGUCAGAGGGAGGUGGAAUUCCGCGUGUAGCAGUGAAAUGCGUAGAGAUGCGGAGGAACACCGAUGGCGAAGGCAGCCUCCUGGGAUAACACUGACGCUCAGGCACGAAAGCGUGGGGAGCAAAC